GAUGAACGCUAGCUACAGGCUUAACACAUGCAAGUCGAGGGGUAACAAGAGAAAAGCUUGCUUUUCUUGUUGACGACCGGCGCACGGGUGAGUAACGCGUAUCCAACCUGCCUAUAACUAGGGAAUAACCUUGCGAAAGUAAGACUAAUACCCUAUGAUUUCCUUUGAUGACAUCAGAUUAGGAAUAAAGAUUUAUCGGUUGUGGAUGGGGAUGCGUCUGAUUAGCUUGUUGGCGGGGUAACGGCCCACCAAGGCAACGAUCAGUAGGGGUUCUGAGAGGAAGGUCCCCCACAUUGGAACUGAGACACGGUCCAAACUCCUACGGGAGGCAGCAGUGACGAAUAUUGGUCAAUGGGCGGAAGCCUGAACCAGCCAAGUAGCGUGCAGGAUGACGGCCCUAUGGGUUGUAAACUGCUUUUAUACAGGAAUAAAGUUAGCCACGUGUGGUUAUUUGUAGGUACUGUAUGAAUAAGGACCGGCUAAUUCCGUGCCAGCAGCCGCCGUAA
This 506-nucleotide ribosomal RNA is filed under the name uncultured bacterium. RNAcentral describes it as "partial 16S ribosomal RNA". It matches the Rfam family "Bacterial small subunit ribosomal RNA", at positions 28 to 523 of the family's 1533-position model. The record is from RNAcentral.